UGGCGCAAGAAAACGGGCCAUCCCUCGGCCUC
Molecule: small RNA, 32 nt
Filed under: Bombyx mori (domestic silkworm)
Lineage: Eukaryota; Metazoa; Arthropoda; Insecta; Lepidoptera; Bombycidae
Description: ovarian small RNA-34866
Source: RNAcentral